This 301-nucleotide ribosomal RNA is filed under the name uncultured bacterium. Its description in RNAcentral is "bacterial SSU rRNA". It matches the Rfam family "Bacterial small subunit ribosomal RNA", at positions 28 to 346 of the family's 1533-position model. The record is from RNAcentral.
GACGAACGCUGGCGGCGUGCCUAACACAUGCAAGUCGAGGGUUUUAGUAGUAAUACGAAGAACACUGGCGCACGGGUGAGUAACGCGUAGAUCAUCUGCCCCUAACACUGACAUAACAGUUCUAACGGACUGCUAAUAUCAGAUGUGAUAAGCAAUUAUUAAAGGGUAACCGGUUAGGGAUGAGUCUGCGUCUGAUUAGGUAGUUGGUGAGGUAACGGCUCACCAAGCCUACGAUCAGUAACUGGUCUGAGAGGACGAACAGUCACACUGGAACUGAGACACGGUCCAGACUCCUACGGGA